UAGGUAUGUCGUCCUCAAAGACCGGAAUC
This 29-nucleotide small RNA is filed under the name Bombyx mori (domestic silkworm). RNAcentral describes it as "ovarian small RNA-22750". Lineage: Eukaryota; Metazoa; Arthropoda; Insecta; Lepidoptera; Bombycidae. The record is from RNAcentral.